This 316-nucleotide ribosomal RNA is filed under the name uncultured bacterium. RNAcentral's name for it is "bacterial SSU rRNA". It matches the Rfam family "Bacterial small subunit ribosomal RNA", at positions 29 to 334 of the family's 1533-position model. The record is from RNAcentral.
AACGAACGCUGGCGGCGUGCCUAACACAUGCAAGUCGAACGAGAAAGCCUUCGGGUGAGUAUAGUGGCGCACGGGUGAGUAACACGUAGGUGACCUACCAUAAAGUGGGGGAUAACUCGGAGAAAUUCGAGCUAAUACCGCAUAUCAAUCAUUGACUUGAAUUAGAUGAUUGAAAGGAUGCCUCUGCAUAUGCAUUUGCUUUUUGAUGGGCCUGCGGGACAUUAGUUUGAUGGUGGGGUAACGGCCUACCUUGGACUACGAUGUCUAGCGGAUCUGAGAGGAUGAUCCGUCACACUGGAACUGAGACACGGUCCAG